Molecule: ribosomal RNA, 1465 nt
Filed under: Staphylococcus aureus
Lineage: Bacteria; Bacillati; Bacillota; Bacilli; Caryophanales; Staphylococcaceae
Description: bacterial SSU rRNA
Rfam family: Bacterial small subunit ribosomal RNA
Source: RNAcentral
UUGCUUCUCUGAUGUUAGCGGCGGACGGGUGAGUAACACGUGGAUAACCUACCUAUAAGACUGGGAUAACUUCGGGAAACCGGAGCUAAUACCGGAUAAUAUUUUGAACCGCAUGGUUCAAAAGUGAAAGACGGUCUUGCUGUCACUUAUAGAUGGAUCCGCGCUGCAUUAGCUAGUUGGUAAGGUAACGGCUUACCAAGGCAACGAUGCAUAGCCGACCUGAGAGGGUGAUCGGCCACACUGGAACUGAGACACGGUCCAGACUCCUACGGGAGGCAGCAGUAGGGAAUCUUCCGCAAUGGGCGAAAGCCUGACGGAGCAACGCCGCGUGAGUGAUGAAGGUCUUCGGAUCGUAAAACUCUGUUAUUAGGGAAGAACAUAUGUGUAAGUAACUGUGCACAUCUUGACGGUACCUAAUCAGAAAGCCACGGCUAACUACGUGCCAGCAGCCGCGGUAAUACGUAGGUGGCAAGCGUUAUCCGGAAUUAUUGGGCGUAAAGCGCGCGUAGGCGGUUUUUUAAGUCUGAUGUGAAAGCCCACGGCUCAACCGUGGAGGGUCAUUGGAAACUGGAAAACUUGAGUGCAGAAGAGGAAAGUGGAAUUCCAUGUGUAGCGGUGAAAUGCGCAGAGAUAUGGAGGAACACCAGUGGCGAAGGCGACUUUCUGGUCUGUAACUGACGCUGAUGUGCGAAAGCGUGGGGAUCAAACAGGAUUAGAUACCCUGGUAGUCCACGCCGUAAACGAUGAGUGCUAAGUGUUAGGGGGUUUCCGCCCCUUAGUGCUGCAGCUAACGCAUUAAGCACUCCGCCUGGGGAGUACGACCGCAAGGUUGAAACUCAAAGGAAUUGACGGGGACCCGCACAAGCGGUGGAGCAUGUGGUUUAAUUCGAAGCAACGCGAAGAACCUUACCAAAUCUUGACAUCCUUUGACAACUCUAGAGAUAGAGCCUUCCCCUUCGGGGGACAAAGUGACAGGUGGUGCAUGGUUGUCGUCAGCUCGUGUCGUGAGAUGUUGGGUUAAGUCCCGCAACGAGCGCAACCCUUAAGCUUAGUUGCCAUCAUUAAGUUGGGCACUCUAAGUUGACUGCCGGUGACAAACCGGAGGAAGGUGGGGAUGACGUCAAAUCAUCAUGCCCCUUAUGAUUUGGGCUACACACGUGCUACAAUGGACAAUACAAAGGGCAGCGAAACCGCGAGGUCAAGCAAAUCCCAUAAAGUUGUUCUCAGUUCGGAUUGUAGUCUGCAACUCGACUACAUGAAGCUGGAAUCGCUAGUAAUCGUAGAUCAGCAUGCUACGGUGAAUACGUUCCCGGGUCUUGUACACACCGCCCGUCACACCACGAGAGUUUGUAACACCCGAAGCCGGUGGAGUAACCUUUUAGGAGCUAGCCGUCGAAGGUGGGACAAAUGAUUGGGGUGAAGUCGUAACAAGGUAGCCGUAUCGGAAGGUGCGGCUGGAUCACCU